GACGAACGCUGGCGGCGUGCUUAACACAUGCAAGUCGAACGGAAAGGCCCCUUUGGGGGUACUCGAGUGGCGAACGGGUGAGUAACACGUGAGUAACCUGCCCUUGACUUCGGGAUAACUUCAGGAAACUGGGGCUAAUACCGGAUAGGAAUCCUUGAUGCAUGGUGGGGGUUGGAAAGCUUCGGCGGUUUUGGAUGGACCCACGGCUUUUCAGCUUGUUGGUGGGGUAGUGGCUUACCAAGGCUUUGACGGGUAGCCGGCCUGAGAGGGCGACCGGCCACAUUGGUACUGAGAUACGGCCCAGACUCCUACGGGAGGCAGCAGUGGGGAAUAUUGCACAAUGGGCGGAAGCCUGAUGCAGCAACGCCGCGUGCGGGAUGACGGCCUUCGGGUUGUAAACCGCUUUCAGCAGGGGCGAAGCUUGUGGUGACGGUACCUGCAGAAGAAGCACCAGCUAACUACGUG
RNAcentral lists this ribosomal RNA (465 nucleotides) under uncultured bacterium. RNAcentral describes it as "partial 16S ribosomal RNA". It matches the Rfam family "Bacterial small subunit ribosomal RNA", at positions 28 to 507 of the family's 1533-position model. The record is from RNAcentral.